This 426-nucleotide ribosomal RNA is filed under the name uncultured bacterium. Its description in RNAcentral is "bacterial SSU rRNA". It matches the Rfam family "Bacterial small subunit ribosomal RNA", at positions 917 to 1341 of the family's 1533-position model. The record is from RNAcentral.
GGACCCGCACAAGUAGUGGAGCAUGUGGUUUAAUUCGAAGAUACGCGCAGAACCUUACCAACACUUGACAUGUUCGUCGCGACUCUAAGAGAUUAGAGUUUUCGGUUCGGCCGGACGAAACACAGGUGCUGCAUGGCUGUCGUCAGCUCGUGUCGUGAGAUGUUGGGUUAAGUCCCGCAACGAGCGAAACCCUCACUUUUAGUUGCCAUCAUUAAGUUGGGCACUCUGAAAGAACUGCCAGUGAUAAGCUGGAGGAAGGUGGGGAUGACGUCAAGUCCUCAUGGCCCUUACGUGUUGGGCUACACACGUGCUACAAUGGCAUCUACAACAGGAAGCAAAACGGCAACGUUAAGCAAAUCCCGAAAAGAUGCCUCAGUUCGGAUUGCACUCUGCAACUCGAGUGCAUGAAGCUGGAAUUACUAGUAA